This 407-nucleotide RNase P RNA is filed under the name uncultured Alloprevotella sp. RNAcentral's name for it is "Bacterial RNase P class A". It matches the Rfam family "Bacterial RNase P class A". From Rfam's summary of the family: Ribonuclease P (RNase P) is a ubiquitous endoribonuclease, found in archaea, bacteria and eukarya as well as chloroplasts and mitochondria. Its best characterised activity is the generation of mature 5'-ends of tRNAs by cleaving the 5'-leader elements of precursor-tRNAs. Lineage: Bacteria; Pseudomonadati; Bacteroidota; Bacteroidia; Bacteroidales; Prevotellaceae. The record is from RNAcentral.
GUAGUGGUACAAGAGGAAAGUCCGGGCAGCACAGGGCAUUCCGCUUCUUAACGGGAAGGAGUCCGUGAGGGCUGAGCAGUACAGAAGAAAACAACCGCCUCCGCAUGGUGUGCGGGCAGUGUCGGCAGUUCGCUGACGGCAUCUUGUUCCGGAACAUCAUGAUUCUGCUUAAGGAGGUAAGGGUGAGAAGGUGAGGCAAGAGCUCACCAGGCGGCUGGUGACAGUCGUGCUGUGUACCUCGGAAGAUGAAAGUCCGCGUAUACCGGCGUCAGAGGGCGGCCCGUCCGAAUGUCGUGGGCGACAUGCGCCGGAGGGUAGGACGAUAGAGGUGGUCGGUGACGUCCAUCGUAGAUAAAUGACGAACGCUGCAUUCGUGCAGUACAGAACCCGGCUCAUAGGCCGGCUGC